UCGUUGGGUCCUUGAGGACUUAGUGACGCAGCUAACGCAAUAAGUAGACCGCCUGGGGAGUACGGCCGCAAGGUUAAAACUCAAAUGAAUUGACGGGGGCCCGCACAAGCGGUGGAGCAUGUGGUUUAAUUCGAUGCAACGCGAAGAACCUUACCUGGUCUUGACAUAUCUAGAAUCCUGCAGAGAUGCGGGAGUGCCUUCGGGAAUUAGAAUACAGGUGCUGCAUGGCUGUCGUCAGCUCGUGUCGUGAGAUGUUGGGUUAAGUCCCGCAACGAGCGCAACCCUUGUCCUUAGUUACCAGCGGUUUGGCCGGGAACUCUAAGGAUACUGCCAGUGACAAACUGGAGGAAGGCGGGGACGACGUCAAGUCAUCAUGGCCCUUACGACCAGGGCUACACACGUGCUACAAUGGUAGGUACAGAGGGCAGCUACACAGCGAUGUGAUGCGAAUCUCAAAAAGCCUAUCGUAGUCCAGAUUGGAGUCUGCAACUCGACUCCAUGAAGUAGGAAUCGCUAGUAAUCGCGGAUCAGAAUGCCGCGGUGAAUACGUUCCCGGGCCUUGUACACACCGCC
Molecule: ribosomal RNA, 573 nt
Filed under: uncultured bacterium
Lineage: Bacteria
Description: bacterial SSU rRNA
Rfam family: Bacterial small subunit ribosomal RNA
Source: RNAcentral